Molecule: ribosomal RNA, 451 nt
Filed under: uncultured bacterium
Lineage: Bacteria
Description: partial 16S ribosomal RNA
Rfam family: Bacterial small subunit ribosomal RNA
Source: RNAcentral
GUGGGGAAUAUUGCGCAAUGGGGGAAACCCUGACGCAGCGACGCCGUGUGAGGGAAGAAGGCUUUCGGGUCGUAAACCUCUGUCAGAAAGGAAGAACCUCCCAAGUCCGAAUAGGGCUUGGGACUGACGGUACUUUCAAAGGAAGCACCGGCUAACUCCGUGCCAGCAGCCGCGGUAAUACGGAGGGUGCAAGCGUUAAUCGGAAUCACUGGGCGUAAAGCGCGCGUAGGCCGCUUUGUAAGUCGGACGUGAAAGCCCUCGGCUCAACCGGGGAACUGCGUUCGAUACUGCGAGGCUUGAGUCCUGGAGAGGGUGGCGGAAUUCCGGGUGUAGGAGUGAAAUCCGUAGAUAUCCGGAGGAACACCGGAGGCGAAGGCAGCCACCUGGACAGGUACUGACGCUAAGGCGCGAAAGCGUGGGGAGCAAACAGGAUUAGAAACCCGUGUAGUCC